Molecule: ribosomal RNA, 497 nt
Filed under: uncultured bacterium
Lineage: Bacteria
Description: partial 16S ribosomal RNA
Rfam family: Bacterial small subunit ribosomal RNA
Source: RNAcentral
GAUGAACGCUGGCGGCGUGCCUAAUACAUGCAAGUCGAGCGAACGGACGAGAAGCUUGCUUCUCUGAUGUUAGCGGCGGACGGGAGAGUAACACGUGGAUAACCUACCUAUAAGACUGGGAUAACUUCGGGAAACCGGAGCUAAUACCGGAUAAUAUUUUGAACCGCAUGGUUCAAAAGUGAAAGACGGUCUUUCUGUCACUUCUAGAUGGAUCCGCGCUGCAUUAGCUAGUUGGUAAGGUAACGGCUUACCAAGGCUACGAUGCAUAGCCGACCUGAUAGAGUGAUCGGCCACACUGGAGCGUAGACACCGUCCAGACGCCUGCGGGAGGCAGCAGUAGGGAAUCUUCCGCAAUGGUCGGAAGCCUUACGGAGCAGCGCCGCGUGUGUGAUGAAGGUCUUCGGAUCGUAAAACUCUGUUAUUGGGUGAGAACAUAUUUGUAAGUAGCUGUGCACAGCUUGACGGUACCUAAUCAGAAAGCCACGGCUAACUACGUG